Molecule: non-coding RNA, 79 nt
Organism: Podarcis lilfordi (Lilford's wall lizard)
Lineage: Eukaryota; Metazoa; Chordata; Lepidosauria; Squamata; Lacertidae
Source: the annotation of a GenBank genome assembly
GCCUGGCUGCAACAGCUCAGUUGCUUAGAGUCUGGUCCUGACAACACCAAGGUUGCAGGUUCAAUCCCUGGUUGGGACA